Molecule: long non-coding RNA, 3348 nt
Organism: Pleuronectes platessa (European plaice)
Lineage: Eukaryota; Metazoa; Chordata; Actinopteri; Pleuronectiformes; Pleuronectidae
Exons: 3
Source: RefSeq, a predicted model, not a curated record
GUCACAUCGUAGGGCCAUUGUUUUCCAUGAUAUUGAGCAGCAUGUUGGAAACAUUUAGCCUAUAUAUUAUAACAUAUGAAUGAUUGGUUAAACUGUGGAGGUAAGCUUAGUCAAUUCACAUGCGCGGUUUACAGCAAUGAGUCCAUAUAUAAGCUGUAUAAUAAUCAGCUUUGGAGAUUUAAAUGAUUACCAAUCUGCUAAUUUUUUUUAGAUCACUUGUGAACUGAUAAUUCUGUGUGUCUCCCACAUCCUAACAGGUCACCACUUUUCUACAGCAACUCUCCAGUCACAUUCACAGCCACCAGACACCAGGUAUCAGACCACCGAACUUCUGGUUAGUAAAACAACCUCAACCUGCUGAGCCACAUCCACACCUGAUUUGUGAAACCAGAGAGGACAAGCAGUUCUGUCGAGGAAGUCUAUGAUGUAAUCUGCAUUACUGGGAAACAGGAAAUACCUGACAUUGGUGUCUUUUGGAAGUUAAAGAGUCUUUUCAGGUCGUCAAAAUUUUCCCAUUUUUUGGUGGAUCCGACCAUUCCCUCAAAUUUGAAUUUCAUUCCACUUAAUUAAGACAAGGGAAAAGGGAAAGAGAAAAAAAAUCGUGAGUAUAUUGGAAUUUUUUUUUGUUGAAAAUCUUUAUCAACAGUUGACCCACAGUUGUUUGGUUGCCUUUAGCAUUUCCUUCGCUUUGGCCUGCCGGAAGCGGACUUCAGCUGGUAGCUCAGACACAUUUUCAAAACUGCUUGUGUGGAGAAGUCCUUCAGCGAGAGGCUUCCACCUGAAAAAAGCAAAGGAAUAAAAUUACUUAAAAGUCGAUUGUCUCAAAGCGGACAUGCCUGGAUCUUUAGGUACAGGACGUACAAUGCUGCACACUUACUGGUACAAGCUCUUUUGAAGUGUCAGCUCCUUUUUACGAUGUUCAAUCAACACGACAUAGUCUUCCUCAAAAUACUUAACGGCUGGGAAGUGAAAAGAACGUUACGGCAGUCAAAUUUCAUCUGUCCAAAAAAUGUGAAGAUCUAAUAUCCCCCAAAAAUAUAUAGUGUUUAAUAAAAAAGAUCUAUAAAAUGAAUAAUAAUACAAUAUCAGACCUCUCCCUCCUCUCAGCUCCACAUACUCUUCCCUGGAAAUCCAUCUGUGACAGGGGAAGAGAUUUGCCUCGCCCUCUGGAGUCGUCACUUCUAUGGUGGAGCAGUACCACUCUUCUUCCUCGAAAUUGAGAAAGGGAUCCUUCUCCACUUUGACCAGCAGGAGUUUCCCCAGAGAUGAACUGGUUUUCACCGUGUAGGUCCCGGUCUGGAAGUAAGAGUUAAUGUAAAUAUAAACAGUGAAGUAAGUGCGACAUCGGUUGAAAAGGGUUUGGUUUGAUGUUAUCAGUCUCAAAAGCAUUUCCAAGUACACAGAGAUAGGCAAACAUGGCAGCUGACUAGUGAAAGUGGGAGAAACACCACACCUUGAAUUAACCUAAGAAAUAAAACAAGUGGUUGGAAUUUUCUGAAACACUGCCCAUAAAUGUGAUUUACAAAUAAUAAAUCGAUUUGCUCUGGCAGAAAUCUGCUCAUCUUAACUGAAAAAUUUACGUUGAUCAAACUUUGAUUAGGUAGAAAAUAUGUAAAAUAAAAUAUAGAAUGAUUAAAAUAAACAUAAAAAUCUGAACCAGGGAGAAAGCGUACCAGUAGAAAUGGGCCUUUAUGAGAGAUUUCAAAGAGUAUAAGGAGUUUGUUGGACUGACCACCUCAAGGAUAUUGAUCCAGAGAGUGGGAGCCCUGACAGGAAAGGCCUGGUCACCUUGUGGAUGUACUAUCCUUUAAUUUGAUAAUACAUUUUAGAGUGUCGUGCAGGUCGAUUUAACUUACUUUCCCAGCAUAGAAGUCUAUACCCCAGUUGUCCAGUUCAGUUUUCUCACUCUUUCCGUCACUUCCAAUUAGAGUGACAUAAACAUGAUCCCAUGUUCCUGCACUUGGCAAGUAACCUGUUGACACCUGAAGCUUGUACUCAGCCAUGGUCACUCAGUGGAUCCGUUCCUGAAAAAAGAGCAAAAUAACAGGUCCAGAUUUUUCCUCUCCGUGCUCUGUUUUCUUGAUCUCUGCCUCUUCUCCUCACAACCCUCCACCCUCUACUUAAGACCUUUACAAGACCACACCUCUUUUGGUCAUUAAAAAAAGUUCAGUCAGACAACACGCGAUCGAACAUUUAUUGCAACAGAACAGGUUUAGUGUUUGGCAUCUAGGCUCCAACUUGAUCACUCACCCAUAUGAUUGCACAGGAAGGAUGGGAGUGAUGAGCAAAUACUUGUAAUCCUCUUGUAGCCUACAGGUGGAUGCUGGGGUGGUGGAGGGGCUGAAGCAAUUGGUAGCAAUACUGCAGCAGCAGUGUGAGCAAAGGGAUGAUGGGAAAUUUCUCUCUCCUUAAAUAGACCACCCGAUAAGGUGGGUCUGUAUUAUAGAUGGUUGUGGAGAGUGAGGUGUGUCACAUGAUUGGAGCAGCGCAGCUUGAGUUGGCAGCCUGACCUAGCUGGCUGGUGUUUUUUUUGUCAGCUUGAAGUCCUUUACACCAGGAUAUGACACUUAUUUGCUCAGUUUGACUACUUCUUCUGGACGCCGAAUUCCACCUUGCUAUUGCACAAACCUCCUCCGACCACCGAGGGGCACUCAAGCAUGGAGACAAUUAUGGAGACCAUCCCGAAUGUUGGAGAGACUGUUAUCAUGUCAGUGUUAAUAAAUCAACUUUCAGGCAAAUAAAGUGAUGUUAUUCCUUUGGGUCAAUAUCCUGAGAAAAGAUUUGACGAGCCUGAGCUUACACAGGUGAUUCUGGAGUUUCAAGCAGAGUUGUCAUACCUCGGUGGAGAAAUCGUGAAGAGAAACUCGCAGCUUGAACUGCCCAACGACUACCUGCUCCCUUCUCGCAUUGAGAACAGCGUGUCUAUUUGAGGAAGUCAGAGAGAUCAAUUCUGUGUCAUUCAACAACUGUAUUUCAUCCUGAGAGGUUUUUUGUUGUGGAUAGGUGUUGCAUGAUGUGAUUAAAUAUUGUUGUUAUGUGGGCCAGUGGUGGGGUAGUUCAGCAACUACAAACAUUUCUCUGACCUUAUUAAACAAAAAGGCGAUAUAUAAAUUUACUUUUUAGUCUUUACUAACAUUGAGUUUUAGCUUUUUAAAUUCCUGUAAUGGACAUGAUGGCAGAGAUGAAUUAGCUGCAAGAAAACACACUGAUGUUGUGUUUUGGGGAAUUACAUAAAUUAUUUGCUGCAACAAAUAAGAUAAAGAUGUACUGUUGGAAUGAAAUUUCUGUGGGAGUAAUAACCACACAUAGAAUGAGAGGACUCACAGGUUGUUGGAUGCGCCGUGGAUA